Non-coding RNA from Microcebus murinus (gray mouse lemur), 1549 nucleotides. The record is from RefSeq and is a predicted model, not a curated record. Lineage: Eukaryota; Metazoa; Chordata; Mammalia; Primates; Cheirogaleidae.
CCCGUCUGCCCUGCAAAGUUUAACGCCAAUUCCCCGCGCGUCCUGCGGGUCGGGCGUCCCCUCCACCGGUGCUGGCGAGGCCGGAGAGCGCCCUGACCAUUUUCCAGACGGUGACAUGGAGGCCUCAAAGCCCAGGCUGCGAGCAGAGUGGCGGGAGCUGCCCACUGCCCGGCCUUCCACACGCACCCCAGUUCCAGUUCCCUGUGGGCCCCAGCCAACCCUCCAGCGCCUGGUGUUUGCAGAGUGAGUCCCCAUAACCUAGAAAGUCUUUAACUCUACGGAUCUGCUGAGGAAGAGGCACAGCCGCGAAAUUGCGCGUGAAACCACCGGGGGUCUCCGGACCCUCUGAAGCCCAACCAGGGCUCUAAGUUAGGGCUCAUCCCCGUUCUAACCCGAGCGCCAGCUUCCACAUCCCCGCCAUCAGCAGGGCACUGGAGCUGCGGGGCCUCCUGGUGCGUCAGCCCUUGCCCUUGCUGUGCCCCCUGUCCCCUGAGCUGGAGUCCUAGGCCACCCUCUGCUACACUUUGUCCAGCCCCAUUCUCAAGCAGCUGUCUUGUAUCCACAAACAGAGGCGGUGGGGAAGCAGACACUUGUGGACAGACACAGGUCGAGGACCAGGUGGGACAAGCUUGCCCCACUCCUCGAGACUGUCUACCUUGCACUGCGAGCCUCGGCAGACCCAGGCGGCUUUCCAGCCGCUCACCCCAAUUUAGAAGCGCUCGUCCUCCCCUCCACCCUACCUCGCCAUACUAUCCACACACUGCAGCUGAGCAGGCGGAGGGAGCAGAUGGAGAGAAGGUUGCAGGCAGCAACGGGGAGGAAUUUGUCUCCAGCACAGUGGUGGAGUCAGGAGUCCCUGGGAAGAAUGGGCGGGGGAGAAACAUUCAUCUGCCCUUGGCCUCCCCCUCCAACCUCACUGCUGUCUUCGGUACGGAAUAUUGAGAACGCCAGGCUGGGCCAGUCCCUGCUAAUCGAUACCCUGACCUUUCUCCCAGCUCCCCAGCCAAAGCCCAGGGGGACAGAGGGGGACACAGCCUCGGUGCCAGGGGGAGGGGAGAGGAUGACCAACAUCUGUGGACCCUCCGAGGCUCAGCGGGACAAGUCACGUGCUCGAGAGCACCAGGCCUGUGGUUUUUCAUGACCUCACACCCUCCCCCAGAAGGACGCACCACCCGGCAUCAUUAUGUGUUUGCAGAUGAAUACACAGCGGCUCAGAGGGCUGAUGAAAUUUGCCAGCAGGUGACAAUCAGUAAGUGUGACAGACCCAGGACUCGGACCCGGGGCUGUGCGACCUCCGGCUUGAGCCUGUAACCACUUGGCGACACUGCCCGUCAGAUCCAGGAGCAGGUUGAUGCUUCCCAGCAGUGAGACUCUAAAGCAGCGGGAGUUCCCGGCCGGAGCCGUGGUCUCCGUGCCAGCGUCUGAAUGUCUGUGAGCAUUUCAAGUCAUUCCACGAAAAGGCGACGUCAGUGGCACCAUUAAACCCUGCUGUUUCCCGGCCCAUCACCGCCGUCCCCACCUAUUAAAAUAAUAGCAUGAAAAAUAAACA